CGGCCGUCCCAGCGGCUCCAUCCUUUUGAUGCCGCUUCUGAGGAUCCAGGAAGCAAAUGUCAGACUUGUCAAGGCUGUCACCGAGAACAUGAUCCGUGGCGCCGGGCUGCGGGCUUCAGCGACAGCCGCCUGAGGCGAGGCGAGGCAGGCGCCUGGGUCCGUGUCCAGCGUCCGGCGGGCUCCUUGGCCCUCGAUCCCCAGCAUGCGUUGUUCAGGGCUUCUCCUUCAUGGAUCCAAGAGGGACAAAGAACAGGAGUUGCUGCCCGGGCCCCGAAGGCGAGGCCCAGAGCCAUUCCGUUCGGGAAAGAUGCCGCGGCUUGGGCGGCCUUAGGGUGGCAGUGCAGCUCCAUGGCUCCGCCCCCGAGGGUCGAGACUCACGUGGUGCCUCAGGGCUGUGCCCAGGAAGCUCCGGGAGGGCCCACACAGGUUUCAAAGGGACGUUUGAAAUAAAUGGCGGCCUACGGAAGGAGACGCGACCUUCUCUUGGCACCAUGGAAGGAGCUUCGUCCUCGGAGCUCAGAAGACAUCCAGGCAGGCCCCACGUGACCUCCCUCACAUUCCACUUCCGGUCAAGCGGGAAGCACCUUCCUCCCGGCCAGGUAGACUGGGGGCUGGAGCUGUGGGUGCGGAAUCAGGAAGACUUCAGAUGAAUUCCUGCCUCAGACACCAACUGGCAUGGCCCUGGCUGAGUCACUUCAUCUCUCUGCCUCAGUUUCCUCCUGCGAGGAUGAGAAUGAAGCCGAGAGAAAGGAGGGCCCCCAGGAUCUUAGCCUAGAGUACAAACACUCCAGGAAGUGACGGAGUCCUUGCUGUCAAACUCUGAGAGCCUCUAAUAAAGCUGUCAAGAAUGGAAGCUCGUCCAGUGGCUGGAUUUCUUUUCCUCGCCUUCGCAGGUAUCUCUUCUUUCUUUUCACCGUCACUUUUGGCUGCAGACCCGCCAUUCUGCCCUCUUCUGACAUUUUCUUUAGAACCCAAAGGGCCAACUGUCCCCUCUCAGCCCAGCUGAGCUCGUGGGCCUCCUCACAUUCUUUGGUGCUCAUCUCCAGGGCUGGGGAUUUCUGGCAAAAAGCCUCAAAGCCUCCAUGAGGGAACAGCCUGCUUCUAAAGUGAACCCAGAGUACGGACUUCCAAGCAUGCCCCUCAGUUUUCCAUGUAGACUACGAUGUCCUCCCCCAUGGGACGAAGCAGCAGCCCCUGCAGAGGUUGGUUUUUUUUUUUCUCAAGCCAUCGGAGCUCUCCUCUGUGGACCUGCUGGACUCUUCCUCUGAGGCCAAGCAUAAAAAGCAUCAGGGUAUCAGUGGACAGUUUGUGUCCCAAGAGCUCCACAUUCACGCCCGGUCUCCGUCUUGCCCAUUAGGAACCAGAGACUAAGAGGGGCCACACGACCCACUUGAGGGGACACGGGGCAAUGGGGCUCAGGCCUUGGUUCCCCCUCCGGGGCGCAGAGCUUCUUUGCCCUCCUUCCCCCAGAUCUCUGUGAAUACCGGACCCAAGAGAGAGGAAACUCUUCACUCGUCACUCAUUGACUUUCCAAGAGGCCUUGGCUUAAUCGGUCCUAGCUAGUGUUCCCCAAGACCCAAUCAAGUAGUCAGAGGAUCCCCAACUGCACUCCCUUCCUUUUGAGGGCUCAGCAGACACUACGGCCGCUGGCUGCCUAUCCUCGGCCCCGGAGGGAUUAUCAACAGAUUAUGUGCAGGCCUGUGCAAUGGCAGCCUGCCUGGUGGGAUGGAGAAGGUGUUCGAUGAGGCAUCAGGAGGGUCUGGCUUGGGAGUCAGCCUCGGGGCCUCAGCUCUGGUUUCCUCAUCCCUGAAGAGGGCGUGCUAAGGGCGCUCCCCUCCCAGGGUUGUCCUGGGGACCCCCACGAACCAGCCGGGCACAAAACCGAAAGCACCUCUGCUAUCCUGAGCAGCAGAAACAGGAACAGCCGUGGGCAGGGAGAGGCUCACCAGUGACCACUCCGAGUGCUAAAGUCAAGCCAGGGGUCAGGGAUGGGCCCCGUAAGCAAGGACAGAAGCCGCUUGGAGGAGAGGGUGGCGACCCCCUCUGUCUGCCCCCACCCAGCUCCCAGCCUGUGUGAGCAUUUACUUUUCCAAGGCUGGAUUCAUUCCUAAAUCAGGGCCACCAUCCAGAGUCCCUAUUUUACAUUUUCUUUGUUCUUAGGAAUCCCUAGAAAUGGGUCCCUUCCAGCAGAAUUUGGUGAAUAAAUGAAGGGGAUGUGGGGAUGGGAGCCCUUGACAUGGGAUGGGGAAGGUGGGUGUUGGGUGGACCACCUGCUAAUUAGCUACUUACCUAUUAGAGACAGCUUGGGAUGGUCAAGGGAAGGGCCAAAUGAGCUUCGAUCCUGAUCCAGGCCCAUCAAGGUCUUUAAUCCUCAAGAGGGCCAGCGGCCUGCCACUCUAUUGGUUACGAUUCGGGCCUAAUCAAAAACGGACAGUCUCUCUGGAGAUGAGACUCUCAGAAGAAUUGUAACCCUAACACCUGCUCGCCAAAGCCACCUCCAUUCUGUCCUGUCCCAGGAUGAGAAGACCUCGUGCUGAAAGAGCUCGUGGCGAUCCUGAGCCCGGGGUCCGAGGACUCCCCCAGCUGGGCUCCACGUUAGUCUUAGCUCUUCUCUAAUGGAAAAUGACCGGGUCUUUCAAUGACAUAAAAACCGUGUUCCAAGGAUCCGGAGGUGGCACUAGGCUGCCUCCCAAAAGGAUUCAGGGCUGUGCAAAAAGCUUAGGGCCUGAUUAGACCAACUCCCCGAUUUCUAGCAACUGAGGAAAGGGAGGCGCCCGCCUUGGGACCCCGCAUGUGGCCCGUGGCAAAGCUGGGAUUAGCUGGGAGUGAAGGGAGAUGGCGAUGAAGAGGGGGUGCAGAGUCCUCCAGCUCGGCUUUGUGGGUGUGUGCACACUCGCCCUCCCGUGGGGCUCUCCAGAAGCUCAGGGGCACCCAAAUGUGUCCGCCAGCCUUCAGACCAAGGAGCCUCUGGGGAGCACGCCUGCUCCCCUGCCCGUCCUUCAAGCGCCCUCAUCUGCUCUCUGCUUGUGGAGAUGACAGCGGGGUUAGAGCGCAAGAUUUUCUCUGAUUUCAACGGAUAUAGACCUCAUUUUGAAAAACAAACAAACAAACCCACCAGACUUUGCACUAUAGGAAUCUCUGAUCUUGGAAUCUUUCUCUUUCUACUUCGUCUCUCAUAACUCCAAAUCUUUCCAGCAAUUCAAGGGAAAAGCUGGCUGCUGAGUGCUGUGCUCUUCAGCAGCCCUUAUUUACUGCUGUCAUUUGGGGAUUGUAGGGGGAAGGGGGAGAGGCUUAGGAAAGGGGCCACACAAGGAAAUUCAUAAUUCUAUUAACCAAAGGAAGGGAAGGGUGGACCAUCUGACUAUUUCCCAGCCCGAGUCUUAACCCGAUCCAGUUUCUGCACUAGUCUUACUCUGACUAAACGAAGCGAAUCUCCAAGUUAAGUAAAGGCUCAAGUCCAAACAGGGAGCCCAGAUUCUCACUCAGUUCCAGAGUCCUUGGUGGGUCAGACUGAAGAAUUCGGUUGAAGGGCCUUAAGAGAUCCAGGGAGUAGAGGGAUCCUCAGCCAAAUCACUGUCCACCAGGAUGAAUGGGGGGGUCCCACUCCACCUUUUCUUAAUGCUAAUCCAAGGCCUGCAGCUUAAGAGAUGGUUAUUUCAGGGAGCCUCUCCGAUGCACAGCUUCGGUGUUGAGCUCCUGCUUCAGAGACAGACGGGUGAAAAACGAUCCAACAACGUGCAAUCUUCCCCCAGCCAGCUCUUAAACAUCCAGGCUUGAGGGCUGUCAGUCGAUCUUUGCAGCUUCGCUUGCUACACUACCUUCCAACUCUAGGAUUCUGUGGGCUUCAGUCUGAAGCUGCUACAACUCGCUGCAUCUCAUCCCUCUUCAUAGCCCCCCAACUCUAACUAGAUAGAACCCAGCUCCAAAGGGCUGAUCAUUUCUGCAAGGGAAACAAUGACAGGAUUGAUAUUGAAGCCAUAUUGGUGCACGCCUCAGCCCAAUGGCACUCGCCACAGGGCUUUCCAUCGCUCCUUGCAUACUUGUCCCCCUGAUUCUUCUGAGAUAACAUAAUGGGGACCAUGCGUUGCCGCCAUCCCACAUCAUGGGGAGAACUUUCGAGGCCAAGAGCUGCCUAUAGGGGCUGGUUAGCAGUUUGCCUGCACAGUCUCCCAAAUUUAAUCCCAUUUGCUCUUUCCUCCCUGACCAGAAGACCGAGAAUGGAGGGCCAGCUUCUGGGGUAGGGGCAAGGGAUGCAUUUUCACACGGGAAAGAAAACUCCUGUGUAGAAAUUGGGAGAUUUAUCUUAUUCUAUGGAGAGACCUCUCUGGCUCAGCUGGGCAGUAAUCCUGGAGAACUGCUGGAUCGCGCCCUGUUCCGUACUGUUGGGCUUCACUGUUUUAGGUCUUUUGGCAGGCAGAGGGUAGCUACAGCGCUAAAGGUGGGUGGAGGCUUUCAUUUCCUGAGGCUCUUGCUGCUGUACAUCAACAAUUCUCACCCUAGAGUGCCUACUUUGCCAAUGUGGGGGAUAAAACUUCAUCCAGGAUGCUCACUUUGGGGAAAGAAAUGCUGGAGGCUGAGAUGGCAGAGUAAAAGCAUGGCAAUCUUGAACCACAUUGAGAAUCCUCUCUAAUGAGCUUUGAAAGAAUUCUUCAAAACGAGUUCUGGAGGGACAGAACCAGCAAGAGGAUGGAGUGAAGCAGUUAUCCUGCAGAAAACAACUUGGAAGGUAGGCAGAGAGGGGCUGGUUCACUGGGGUGAGAGGGGAGCACACCCAGCAGCAAGGUCAAACCAAGAAGCACCAGCAUAAGCCAACAGCAAGCCCCCCAUCCUACCCCAAUGCUCCAGGUUCUGAACCUGGAUAAAAUAAAAGUUGAGAAAAAGGCUAGGAAAAUGAGCAAGCAUUCAAGAAAAACACCUAACCAUAGAAAAUUAUUAUGGCAACAAAGAGUGAGACACAGACUCAGAAGAGGAGAGGGAGAUUAAAGUAGCUAUAUGAAAAACUUCAAAGAAAAAUGGGAAUCAGUCUCAGGCUCUAGAAAAGCUCAAAAAGGAUUUCAAAAAUGAAAUAAAAGAGGCUGUGUAAAAAUGAAGAAGGGAAUUGAAAGCAAUGUAAGAAGAAAAUAACACCUUAGAAAGAAGAAUAUGUCAAAUGAAAUAAGAGGUGCAGAAAUCCAUUGUAGGAAUAUGUUUCUUAAAAA
Long non-coding RNA from Monodelphis domestica (gray short-tailed opossum), 5198 nucleotides. RefSeq lists it as uncharacterized. Lineage: Eukaryota; Metazoa; Chordata; Mammalia; Didelphimorphia; Didelphidae. The record is from RefSeq and is a predicted model, not a curated record.